UGUUUAUUACCUGUGAAUUACUUCUACUAAACACCUGCCCAAAAUUCUACAGGCACUAUGCCAAGCUGGGCGUGUAUACAGGAUGGAGAGUUACUUUGGCAUGGUAUUCCCAGAGAUGGACACACAAGCAAAGUCUUUUUAACAAUGGAAAGAUCCACAGGUGCUUUUUGUUUUUUGUUUUGUUUUUACCUAAUGCUAAACUUUUAUCAAAGAAUUUUUCUUUCCAGCUUGAUAUUUCAAAUAAAUGUUAACCAUACAGUGUCUUCCCUCUCCCUUCAGGAUAUACAAACCACAGAAAUUCAAUGACUCAUCCCAAAAUGGUUUAUGAAUAUGCCAGGGGCGGAAGGGCAUGGUGUUUACUUCUUUAAGACUUCCUGCGAAACUGGAAAAAAAAAAGAGAGAAUACAGCAUUUGAAGAUAUUUGUAACUAACUAAAGAGCACGGGCCUGCCAUUGCAUGAAUGUGGAGAGUAGAGGCCAACUUGAAGUCAUCUGUAUGAUGAGACCUUGUGAGUCAAAGAGACAAAAUUCUCAUCAUAGUCCUAAGACAAUGGGGUAGGUGUGGUUCCCCCAGUCAUUCCUAAAAGCUCUCUUACAGAAUUAAAUUAUUAAGGACCACUAUAAAGAUUCAGCUACAUUCUAGGGAUUUGAUGCAUGCAAAACAAACAAACAAACAAAAAAGAAACAAAAUACAGAUCACGGGUAACAUAUAAGAAAGCAUAUGAAGAUCAAUAAAUAUGAUGAUCCUGCCAUCUGCCUAUGUUGUGAACCUGAAUAAGGUGGGCUGAGAGAGCCUGACUUCAAAAAAAGUUCAAUUCGGAAGUUUCUGGUGAUCAGAAGGGUCAGGAGCUACCCCCUGCCCUCCCAGAAGGCAGAGCAACUGAGGACAGAAAGGCACUACAAAGUCAACCAAAAUCUAAGUAGGCCUCUGUGAAAGGAUAUUUGGUGAACCAGUGAACUUCGUGCAGAUGCCUGAGAACAACACAAAUCUGCUGAUAAAAACAACAUAUUAUUCAGGGAGUAGUUUGAAUGCAUGACCAGUUAGCAAAAUAGCAACAGAGACUCCUUUUCAGGGCCUAUGAUUUCCACAGUCAUGGGAUUUUGACCAGUUUACACUACCAAGUAUGAAAUCCCACCUGUGGACCAG
This 1146-nucleotide long non-coding RNA is filed under the name Cricetulus griseus (Chinese hamster). Its description in RNAcentral is "lncRNA (ENSCGRG00015035128.1)". Lineage: Eukaryota; Metazoa; Chordata; Mammalia; Rodentia; Cricetidae. The record is from RNAcentral.